Molecule: ribosomal RNA, 559 nt
Filed under: uncultured bacterium
Lineage: Bacteria
Description: bacterial SSU rRNA
Rfam family: Bacterial small subunit ribosomal RNA
Source: RNAcentral
ACGGGUGAGUAACGCGUGGGAAUCUACCCAAUUUCUUCGGAACAAUCUGAUGCGGAAACUUCAGCUAAUACCUGGAUACGCCCUACGGGGGAAAGAUUUAUCGGAAUUGGAUGAGCCCGCGUUGGAUUAGCUAGUUGGUGACGGUAAUGGACUCACCAAGGCGACGAUCCAUAGCUGGUCUGAGAGGAUGAUCAGCCACACUGGGACUGAGACACGGACCAGACUCAUACGGGAGGCAGCAGUGGGGAAUUUUGGACAAUGGGGGAAACCCUGAUCCAGCCAUUCCGCGUGAGUGAAGAAGGCCUUCGGGUUGUAAAGCUCUUUCGGCAGGAACGAAACGGUUACGGCGAAUACCCGUGACCACUGACGGUACCUGAAGAAGAAGCACCGGCUAACUACGUGCCAGCAGCCGCGGUAAUACGUAGGGUGCGAGCGUUAAUCGGAAUUACUGGGCGUAAAGCGUGCGCAGGCGGUUAUGCAAGCCAGACGUGAAAGCCCGGGCUAACCUGGGAAUGGCGUUGGGACUGCAUGGUAGAGUACGUCAGAAGGGGGGUGGAAU